GCAGUGUUUGUAUUACCAUUAUCAUUAUUAAUAUUACCAGUAGUGGUAGUAGUACUAGAAUUGAUAUU
Molecule: small RNA, 68 nt
Filed under: Fragilariopsis kerguelensis
Lineage: Eukaryota; Bacillariophyta; Bacillariophyceae; Bacillariales; Bacillariaceae
Description: partial Mitochondrion-encoded tmRNA
Source: RNAcentral